Molecule: unclassified non-coding RNA, 780 nt
Filed under: Leishmania donovani
Lineage: Eukaryota; Euglenozoa; Kinetoplastea; Trypanosomatida; Trypanosomatidae
Description: gene:unknown
Source: RNAcentral
ACACACAGAGACAGACGUCAUACGAAAGACGACACGUUUGACGUGAACAAGGGAAAAACAGAACCAAAACGUUACGUCAAGCGCUACUCUCGAACUGUGCAGGUGUGUGUGUGUGUGUGUGUUUUCUGCGUUUUUUUUUCUGCUGCGGCCCCUUCACCACCGCCAUCAUUGCCGUUCCCCUGGCUCACCUGCGCACCCUCUACAUCACACACGCUUUUCUUGUGGUGGUGGGGUCCCUUCACUUCUGCCGGCUUACCUUGCACUGCUGCCCUAUCAUCUGUGAAUCUCGCGUUGUAGUUUUUUUUUUGUUGUUGUCCUUCAUUUUCGUUUGCCUCGGCUCCAAUUCGUGCAUCCACGCACGCACGCGAUAACAUUGGCUCUUCCGAUCUUUCCCGCUCCUACUCUGGCGUGCACGCAUAUACGCACAGUUCUGGAAACGCAAGGCGCAACUCUCUCCAAGGCCUGCCUGCGAGCUUGGCAAGCACAACGGCAGCGACGCGAGAGUUUCACAGCCACGCACGCGCACACGUUCUCUCUCCGUUGCGGCUGCGCUUCGCACAGUCCCAUCCGCGCCACCACCACCGCCACCACACAGGCCGCUGUCCUCCUCGCCGGCCCCGCCGCCCCCUCCGCUUGCCUCUAAAGUCGAGACUCGCUCCAGGUGGCACGCGCAAGGCAGCGAAAGCACGGACACGCACGACUUUGCGAUACACGCAGAAUUGAAAACCGAGAACAUAAGAAAAGGUGGUGUGUCUGUCUGUGUUGAGGAAAAAAAAGCGC